This is a long non-coding RNA of Telopea speciosissima, 120 nucleotides long. RefSeq lists it as uncharacterized. The record is from RefSeq and is a predicted model, not a curated record. NCBI's taxonomy places the organism in Eukaryota, Viridiplantae, Streptophyta, Magnoliopsida, Proteales, Proteaceae. The transcript has 2 exons.
UUUUCUCAAUUGACAGGUUGAAACAGCUGCGUCUGAAAGGGAGCAGUUAUUGCUUAUGAAAAUUUCAGAGCUUGAAGCCAGGAUGAUUAAUCUUACUAAUGAGGUAGCUGAGGCAAGGUC